GAACUUUCCUCAAAGAGAUGCAUUGGUUCAAUGGAUCUCUAUUGGGAGAUGCUGAUUGGCCAGGGCUGUGUUUGGCUUGUGCUGGCUCGGUCACUAAUCUACCUCCUUGACAGACUCAGAAAAUCCUAUAGGAAAGAAUUGUGAUUGGUCGAGAUCACCACUUCUGAUGAUGUCAGCCAAGCAGGCACAUCGGAUAGAGCCAGCAGCUGCAGACAAAAAGUAAG
Molecule: non-coding RNA, 224 nt
Organism: Pelobates cultripes (western spadefoot toad)
Lineage: Eukaryota; Metazoa; Chordata; Amphibia; Anura; Pelobatidae
Source: the annotation of a GenBank genome assembly